Molecule: ribosomal RNA, 235 nt
Filed under: uncultured bacterium
Lineage: Bacteria
Description: partial 16S ribosomal RNA
Rfam family: Bacterial small subunit ribosomal RNA
Source: RNAcentral
CGGACGGGUGAGUAACGCGUGGGUAACCUGCCUCACACUGGGGGAUAACAGUUAGAAAUAGCUGCUAAUACCGCAUAAGCGCACGGUUCCGCAUGGAACAGUGUGAAAAACUCCGGUGGUGUGAGAUGGACCCGCGUUGGAUUAGCUAGUUGGUGAGGUAACGGCCCACCAAGGCGACGAUCCAUAGCCGACCUGAGAGGGUGACCGGCCACAUUGGGACUGAGACACGGCCCAA